UACGUAGGGUGCGAGCGUUGUCCGGAAUUACUGGGCGUAAAGAGCUCGUAGGUGGUUUGUCGCGUUGUUCGUGAAAACCGGAGGCUUAACCUUCGGCGUGCGGGCGAUACGGGCAGACUGGAGUACUGCAGGGGAGACUGGAAUUCCUGGUGUAGCGGUGGAAUGCGCAGAUAUCAGGAGGAACACCGGUGGCGAAGGCGGGUCUCUGGGUAGUAACUGACGCUGAGGAACGAAAGCGUGGGUAGCGAACAGG
RNAcentral lists this ribosomal RNA (253 nucleotides) under uncultured bacterium. Its description in RNAcentral is "partial 16S ribosomal RNA". It matches the Rfam family "Bacterial small subunit ribosomal RNA", at positions 524 to 776 of the family's 1533-position model. The record is from RNAcentral.